RNAcentral lists this long non-coding RNA (514 nucleotides) under Helianthus annuus (common sunflower). The record is from RNAcentral. Lineage: Eukaryota; Viridiplantae; Streptophyta; Magnoliopsida; Asterales; Asteraceae.
UCAUCUUCCUAGUUCAGCCGCUGCAGCCACCAGAUGUAACACUCAUUUUGUUACUCACAUUCAACCACUUCAUCUUUCUUGUUCGGCUGAGUGACUGAAGAUGCUUUUUAUGGAAAGCUAGAAAUGAGAUGAUUUUUGAGGGUCGCUUCAUCCCGGUAGGCAAUAUAGUCGAGCAGGUGAAGGAAGAUGCUUUUUUAUGGAUCUGUAAUCGAUCUAAAAGGCCUAAUCCUAGCUGGGAAGAUUGGAGGGCGUUUGAUAUUUCAGUUAUGUUGUAAUCUGGUGUCGUGAUUUGCUUCGGCUCUGCGUCUUUUUGCUGUUUUUUCUUUCCGUUUUCUUUUCCUGUUGUUUGUUUCUCAGCCUCUGGCUGGCUCUUUAUAUAUAUAUAUAUAAAGUGUGUUUGCUGUUAAAAAAAAAAAAAAAUAUUAUAUAAAAAGUGGCUUCAAUUAUGACAUCCACUCCGGAUUCCAAAAACAUCACAAAGUGGCUUCAAUUAUUUUUUUGUGUUAUUCUAUGA